RNAcentral lists this ribosomal RNA (243 nucleotides) under uncultured Actinomycetales bacterium. Its description in RNAcentral is "partial 16S ribosomal RNA". It matches the Rfam family "Bacterial small subunit ribosomal RNA", at positions 88 to 334 of the family's 1533-position model. The record is from RNAcentral. Lineage: Bacteria; Bacillati; Actinomycetota; Actinomycetes; Actinomycetales.
UACUCGAGUGGCGAACGGGUGAGUAACACGUGGGUGAUCUGCCCUGCACUUCGGGAUAAGCUUGGGAAACUGGGUCUAAUACCGGAUAGGAGCCAUCUUUAGUGUGGUGGUUGGAAAGUUUUUUCGGUGUAGGAUGAGCUCGCGGCCUAUCAGCUUGUUGGUGGGGUAAUGGCCUACCAAGGCGGCGACGGGUAGCCGGCCUGAGAGGGUGUACGGCCACAUUGGGACUGAGAUACGGUCCAG